This 264-nucleotide ribosomal RNA is filed under the name uncultured bacterium. Its description in RNAcentral is "partial 16S ribosomal RNA". It matches the Rfam family "Bacterial small subunit ribosomal RNA", at positions 89 to 354 of the family's 1533-position model. The record is from RNAcentral.
UGGCGACCGGCGCACGGGUGAGUAACACGUAUCCAACCUGCCUCAUACUCGGGGAUAGCCUUUCGAAAGAAAGAUUAAUACCCGAUGUCAUAGUCCUACCGCAUGAUGGGAUUAUUAAAGAAUUUCGGUAUGGGAUGGGGAUGCGUUCCAUUAGCUUGUUGGCGGGGUAACGGCCCACCAAGGCAUCGAUGGAUAGGGGUUCUGAGAGGAAGGUCCCCCACAUUGGAACUGAGACACGGUCCAAACUCCUACGGGAGGCAGCAG